GUCACACUGGGACUGAGACACGGCCCAGACUCCUACGGGAGGCAGCAGUGGGGAAUAUUGCACAAUGGGCGCAAGCCUGAUGCAGCGACGCCGCGUGGGGGAUGACGGCCUUCGGGUUGUAAACUCCUUUCGUUAGGGACGAAGCCACACCUUUUUUUGGGUGUGGUGACGGUACCUUUGUUAAGAAGCACCGGCUAACUACGUGCCAGCAGCCGCGGUAAUACGUAGGGUGCGAGCGUUGUCCGGAAUUACUGGGCGUAAAGAGCUCGUAGGUGGUUUGUUGCGUCGUCUGUGAAAUUCCGGGGCUUAACUUCGGGGUGGCAGGCGAUACGGGCAUAACUAGAGUGCUGUAGGGGAGACUGGAAUUCCUGGUGUAGCGGUGGAAUGCGCAGAUAUCAGGAGGAACACCGAUGGCGAAGGCAGGUCUCUGGGCAGUAACUGACGCUGAGGAGCGAAAGCAUGGGGAGCGAACAGG
This 475-nucleotide ribosomal RNA is filed under the name uncultured Corynebacterium sp. RNAcentral describes it as "bacterial SSU rRNA". It matches the Rfam family "Bacterial small subunit ribosomal RNA", at positions 307 to 776 of the family's 1533-position model. Lineage: Bacteria; Bacillati; Actinomycetota; Actinomycetes; Mycobacteriales; Corynebacteriaceae. The record is from RNAcentral.